GCCAUCUCAGUGGCUUCAGUAAUCACUUAGGUUAUGUGGGGAGAUGUAGCGAAGCUGACGGAGGUCUUGGCUCUCAGUAGGAAUAGAGAUGAGGAAAGCAGGGCCUGAAGAUUAAAUCAUCAUCACAAACACUGCAAGGGACCAACAACCACCGCAUCUCUCCGGGUCCUAGCAUUUAUGUACCGUCUGAAGAGCUCCCAGAAUUCCAAGUAUCACACAACCACAGAAAUUUUCUGCAGAUCGGAAAACACACCAUGCUUCUGCUAGAACAUGAGGCGAAUCACGGUCAGCUGCUGUGGACCAUCCGAACCAUCCCCACACCCCAACAUAAAAGUACAUUCUUAUGAUAUUUCUGUGUUUUUUAAGAAACCAAAUUCCAGAAAUCUCAAAAUGUCACUACAUCUCCCCCCUGCUGUUUUUAAGACAUUAACUGUGCUGUGUAUAGUGGGAAAGUAUAAACAGAGACAUCUUCAAUGAAAUAAAUGCUUUAUGGUCAGCGGCCAAGGUCUUCAGAAGAUCUCUAACUGUUAACAGUUUUGAUGGUUCCCACAGCUUUGGGUCUCCUGUGGAAAUAUAACGAAACCCUCACCCCCAACACAAAACCAUGCUGGCUUCCACUCUAAUGCUAACAUAUCCUUACAGCACACAGGCUGACUUAAUUCUAUAGUUUUUUUUUCUAUAACCCAGUGUUUCUUAGCUGCUGUUGAUCCUUUCUCAUUAACAUUCUGAAAAUUUAAAGUUAGAGCACUACUGAUUAGAAUCUCUGCAGUUUUUUAUUUUCCCUCUUUGUCUUAUAAGCAUUUCCUGUAAGCAUUUCCUUUAAGGUGGGAUUAGAUCCUUCUACAACUGCCUGUCCUGAAGGACUGUGUGGUACAAUGCUAAUAUAUUUUACAUAAUAUGCAAAAAAUGAUUUCAAUUUAUUAGAGACAUAUGCAGAGGCUUCAUCAGUUUUAAUUUGUGAGGUUUUCCCCACGAUAACCAUUACUUAGUGUAAAGAUGUAAUUAUAGAAUCAGCCUUUUCAGAAUUUAAAAUUUAAAAUCCUGAUUAUGUAUCAAAGGCAUGGUGUUUAAACUUUAGUUUUCCAAAUUCUGAAAAAUGAAACACAUCCAUUUGCCGGAUUUUUUUGGGUAUCUUUAGGGUUAACUUCAGUGUAUAACGAGGCUUAAUUUUUCUUAGCUUGUCUCCAAGUAACAGAAAAAACUUUUUUUAAGCUUCAGCUGUUUGCAUGUUUUUCAUGAAACUCUGAUGAUUCCAAUAUAUUUCCUAUCAACAACUGGUUCAUUUCAUUUCCUGUGGUAAUGAACCUAGCAGACCUGUGUGUGAACAAAUUUGGUUGAUAUAUAAUGGCUAAUUUUUUUUUCCCCCCGGAGCUUGGGACCGAACCCAGGGUCUUGCGCUUCCUAGGCAAGCGCUCUACCACUGAGCUAAAUCCCCAACCCCAUAAUGGAUAAUUUUUAAUCCUGAUUGUUGCAUUUGUAUUUAAAAAAAGGUUAAUCCUGAAUUAUUAGGAAUAAAUCCAGCAGUUUCUAUAUGCAGAAUAACCUUUCUGCAUAUUGAGAGUCAGUAAUUAUAUUAAGAGGUUCAGGAAAAUCUAAGAAAUCCAUAUAGCUGUGAUUUUUUUUUUUCUAAUUGAGGCAUAUAGGCUUUGAAUUACUUUACUCAUACGGUCUGACUUAUAGCCUGCCAUUUCCAACUUAUUAGCAUCAGUAGAGAACGUAGAUGCUUCAGAGCUGGUGUUUCUCCCACAAUGUGUGGAGAAUACUGUGAUGAUCUGAAGACGCUUGCUGGCUUAGGCUGUCUGCUGUUGAUGUCUCCUAAACAGCUACAAACUCUUCACCAACCUCCACAGGUUACCAACAAUGACAGAGUGUCUGCAUCAGUUUACAACUUCUGCUGAGUUUUUUCCUGAAAACUCAUGUCGUCUUAUUCUUCCUUUUAGGAUUAAAUCUGUUCUACUAGAGUUAACUCUCUGCACUUCAGCCACUAACCAUCUUGGACUUAUUAGGUUGAAAACUUGCAAUAUUUAAAACAAAUUACUUAACACUUUGAGUAGUUAACCCAAUAAUAGGCCAUAGCCAAUUAACAUCUCCCAUUAAUUUUUGAAAAUCAUUAAGAAUUUGCAACUCAUCUCUUCUGAUCUGUGCCUUUUGUGAUUGAAUGAUUUUGCUGUUGUUGACUUAUUUCAUAAACCUAAUAGUUAAUCAAAUCUCUUUACUGUAGUUUCUCAGGAGCAAUCUAUAACUCGCAGCACGACAGAAUUGUCUGUGUUUCCUUAAACAUUUUCUCUAAAGUAUCUGCAUGUGAAUUAGCCCCCCCCCCAAAAUCCAUAUAAUAAAAAAAUGGAUACAAGAAAUUGCCUACAAAUUAUUUCCAGCAGUUGUUGCACAAGAUAUCAACAUAAAAUUGGACUCACUAACAUUCCUUGUUAAAGAACUUUUGACUGAUAUCUUUUUAUAGGCAUUCAGAAAACAAUUUUUAUCUUGCUCAUACAAUGGGUUACUAAAAACCAGUCUUUUCAAUCAAUUACUAAGAUAAGCCAUGCCUUAGAUAAUGAAGAAAGGACAGGAACUCCAGGCUAUAACAAACCCAUUAGUUAGACUACUCUACUCAUAGCUCUUAAAUCUGUUUAUAAUCUCAAAUUUUCUGAUUCCUUAUAUUAUAACGAAUAUUGGAGAGUUCCAAGAACUGACAGACUCUUCUAUAUGCUGACCCUCCAGCUGCUCAAGUGCUUGCUUUUUUAGUUUUUUGUUUGUUCGAUGGUUAAGGGCCACUGCUUUACCCUUAAAGGCCGCUGGUCAACCAUUUUAAGGGUAGAGCCAUUGAUACUUCAGCAGUGCAUCCCCUACCCCCAUAAAUUUGGAAACUCAAUUCCUGUUAUGCCCUGUAUUUGGACAAUUGGCACAGUCUGGGGUUGUUUCUGGCGACACACAUCAAGACCUUCUCCACAAGCAUCUACCAUUUCUGCACUUAUUUCAUUAUGGGCUGUUUCUGGGACUGCAGGAUUAUUAAUCUGAAUAUCCCACAGUUGUAAAAAAAAAAAAAAAAUCCCUUCCCUUCCCUACCAAUGGAUGGGUGUGUCAGCCACAUAAGGCUUCCCUUCCCUACCAAUGGAUGGGUGUGUCAGCCACAUAAGGCCUUCCCUUCCCUAUCUGACCUUCCAAUCCUACACAUUUACCCAUCAUACACUUUGAUUUACCUGAGAUAACUUUCCAAUUCCUAGAAACUAGGUAUAAACAUUUUGAAGUGGGAAUUCAGAAUUCCAAAUAUUUUUGUACAAUGAUAGAUACAUCAUCUCCUGGAGUCAUCAAACUUUCUACUGCAAUACAAUUUACCUCCAGUUUUAAUUUUGACCUCUGGGAAUUAAAAACUGUUUUUCAAUUCUUCCAAACCCUCCAUUUUUCCUACUGGAGCAGCUUUGCCUUUGAUGUGGGGAAACAGUCACAUCUGAGCAAUCCUAAUCACCGCUUUAAAUGGCAUCUCUUUUUACACAGGCUAUAAUUUUAAUUUCUCCUUUGAAAUACUCAUCUAUAAUUUUGGAUGUACAAUGAGUCCUUGGGAUGUCAAUUGGUUCCUUCCUAAGGUCACCGCUACUGUUCCUAAGAGGAAAGGGUCAUAAAUUCUAGCAAUUAUUUUAUAACACUUGAAUUUUGGGGAGUAAGACGUUUAUUUGUGGUCAAGUCUAGAGCAGCUCUGCCUAUAGCAGUUUUUUAAUCUGCAUGUCAUUCCUGGGCUGAAACUGCUAGUAAUUUUGCUGCAGGGCUCCAAGCUAGGCCCCCAAGGCAUUUCCCAAUGGUAAGAAAUGACCUUGAAUGUUUCUCUUGGAUCUAAACUUCUGAUCCACCACAGCUUUCCUCACACUGCUCACCAAACCCCACUACUCAACAAGCAGACGGAGGAUUCCAAGUCAAGGCUGGCUUGUGCCACACACCAAGAUCCGGUUUCAGAAAUCAAAAACUAACAGAACUAAAAAUGCACAAAAUUCACGAAAACUCACUGAUACAAGGUACCCCAGAGAAGAGCAUACAGAGUUAAAAACAAACAAAAAAACCAAGCAAACAGAAAACAACUCACUACUAAAACAAAGCACACAAAAGUGACAAUAUUAGUUCUUGGAACAGAGCAAGCAGGUCUCUUAAGAUUAAAAUCAGUAUGAGCAUUAAAGAAGCAGCUCUCAGCAGGUAAACUAAAGCAGAUCAAAACCCAGAAAAGGUGCUGAGGAGACCAGCGAAAAAUAAAGCUGGAGAGCACAAAAGCUUGAUUAGAGGCACAGAACCAACGGGAGUACAAGUUCCAGGAGAACAGGUUUGGAGAGGCAACAGUCAAUCAGAGAAAACAACAAAACAAAACAAAAACUCACCUCUUCAAUAAAUUCUGAGAGCAAGGGCUCUGAACAGAAAAGAACAAAUCUUUUCUAACUAUUAUACAAUACUGUGAUGGACAAAACCAAAGCAUACUGGGAAAACAAAUCAUCUAAGAGCAAUAUGGGGAGAGAAAGAAGGGGGGGGGGGAGAACACAGGUGGGUUGGGGCAGUAUAUGAGCAUGGAGGCCUCGACCUGACCUGGAAGCAUGCCAGGACACUAGGGUAAGGAACAAAGGGAAAUCAUCUCUAAAAUAGGACUGGGGGUUGCGGGGUAGAGACAGUUUUAGGACUCAUUACUGGAAUUUCUGUGGUGAAAAACAAUUAAAACAAUCAAUUUUUUUCGUUAAGAAAAAAAUUCAGGGCUGGAGAGAUGGCUCAGAGGUUAAGAACACUGACUCCUCUUCCAGAGGUCCUGAGUUCAAUUCCCAGCAACCACAUGGUGGCUCACAGCCAUCUGUAAUGGGAUCUGAUGCCUUCUUCUGGUGUGUCUGAAGACAGUGACAGUGUAUUUUCAUAUAAAAUAAAUAAAUCUAAAAAGACAAAAACAAAAACAAGAAAAAACUCAUUUGCUGAAAGUCCUGGAAUAUAAAAUAGCCUAGAUUUUUUUCUUUUAAAGUCCGAUACAGUUUAAAGCACAAAUGUACUUAAAAUUCUAAAAAGCUAGAAUACUGAAAAGGAGAGGGCAGCUAAGAACCAUUAAAAACUCUUGCAUGAAGCUCAACAGGUGACUGCCUAGUGAGUACAAAUCCUGGGUUCCACUCCCCAGCACUGAAAAGGAGGUGGGGAAAUAGCUUGUACUUCUACUUAGGGAGGCACGCAAAUUACAGUCCUUAGUUUGAGCACCACACAGCACUGCAGGAAGUCAGGUAAGAUGAGGGCAUAUACCUGUAAUGCAAAUACUCAGAGGGGCAGAAGCAGGAGGAUCGCAAGCCAGAGGCCAGUUUAGGCUACACAGAGAGCCUACCUUGGGGGAAGAGUAAUAAAACAGAAACAAAAUGCAUCAUGUUUAGUACUUCUUUCAUACCAUAUGCAAAAUGGCUUUUAAAAUCCUAAAAAUAGCUAAACCCAUGAAACUGUAGAGCGAACACAGGGGUAAGCCCCUGUGCACUUCAGUUGAGCAAUAGCCCUACCAUCUAUGGCACAAACAAUAAAAAAAGACAUUUAAAUGUUCAAAAUGAGGCGAAUAAGAACUGAACCACUUGUGUGUUUUAUAGGGAGGGAUCACGGUGGGCACACUGCAGCUUAGUCUGUCUGAGAAGGCUUAGAGCACACAACAAAAGCAAGUAAAAUAAACAACUAAUUUACAAUGUGACCAGAGAUUUCUUCAGAGACAACAUACAAAUGUCAACCAAUCACAUGCAAAGAAACACAGUAUCAAUAGGGACAUGAACAUCCAGACCCACAGUGACAUGCUGUAUCGUUCCCUAGAAUGCUUGUGGUCAAGAGGACAGCAACAAAAGCUGUUAGUGAGGAAGGGAGAAAACAGAGGUUUUCUUCCUUCUGGUAGAAAUGUAAAAUUGUGUAACAAUUUUUCUACUUGUUAAAGUUUCCAUAUGUCUUGGAAUCCCACAUUACGUCUAUUUUCCAGUAGCAGGAAGAACACACAUCCACACAAACACCUGUAUAUGAAUGCCCAGAGCACACACAUGAUCAUCGCCACUGUUGAAAAUUGGAAACAACCCAAAUGUCUACCAACUGAAAAAUGGCUCUGUGAAACAUGGUACUUCGGGGACUGUAAUGAACACAAACCCACACUACUAUGGGAACCAGACACCUUUAAGGGAAAGUGGCCAGACACAUGACAGAGCUCCAGUUCUAAGGACCACCACUCUAAGUUGUGGAAAAGUGAAAAGCACAGACUACAAAAGGCACACACACACUCCUUAGCUCAUGGUUACACCUGCCCCUCUAGGAAAUACACCAAAGUCAAGUGGGCCACCUAUACCCUUAAUGGUCCAGUCUCACAAUAAUUGUGUAAACUACAGAUAAGCAAAAUACUUAAUACUCAGAUCAGUCCAAUAGCCCAGCUGAAGGAGGCUGGGGAGCAAUGAAAGAAAACACACACAAAAGCCACCUCAUUUACAUGAACUAGGAAUAAAAACUAAGAUAAGCAUAAACUUACAUACAAGUGAGUAGACUUUGGAAAAGUAAUUAAAUUCGGAUAGACAAGAUAAUUCGAACAAAGCAUAGUAUCUAUACUUAUCUGCUAAUCAGAUGACAAUUCUACCUAAAUGAACCUAAAAAAUAUGACUCUAGUUCAGCAAAAGUAACAAGAAUUAUUUUUUAAAAAUUGCCCAAGCUAAGCUAAUAUAUCUGUGGGAAAGUAUGCAUUGAGAAAGCCAGAAAACAACACUUAAGAAACACAAACAAAACAGGAAGUUAGAAAAAGAAAACAAAUGGGGGAGGGCUAUGUGCACUGCUGUUUUGCCUGCAUGUAAGUCUGUGUGAGGUGUCGGACCCUCUGGAACUGGAGUUUCAGGCAGUUGUGAGCUGCCAUGUGGGUGUUAGGAACUGAACCUAGGUCCUCUGGAAGAGCAGGCAGUAUUUUUAACCACUGAACUAUUUGUCUAACCCCACGAAAAAUAGAAGUUAUUACAUCAGUAAUAGUAAAAGGUAAUCAACAUUGUAGUCCUCAAGAUGUUCUAGAAUUUUGUAGAAGUCAUCAAGACAACAGGGCUGUUCUUGUAGUGGACCUGGGUUCAGUUCUGAGCAACCACAUGGUAGCUCACAACCACCUGUAACUCUAUUUCUAGGGGACUCCAUGGGCACUGCUCAAAUACAGUACACACACACACACACACACACACACACACACACACACACGCAAAA
This is a non-coding RNA of Rattus norvegicus (Norway rat), 7191 nucleotides long. The record is from RefSeq and is a predicted model, not a curated record. NCBI's taxonomy places the organism in Eukaryota, Metazoa, Chordata, Mammalia, Rodentia, Muridae.